CCUGGGGAGUACGGUUCGCAAAGAAUUAAAAACUUCAAAUGAAAUUGACGGGGGGCCCGGCACAAAGCGGUGGAGCAUGUGGUUUAAUUCGAUGCAACGCGAAGAACCUUACCUACUCUUGACAUCCAGAGAAUCCUGCGGAGACGCGGGAGUGCCUUCGGGAACUCUGAGACAGGUGCUGCAUGGCUGUCGUCAGCUCGUGUUGUGAAAUGUUGGGUUAAGUCCCGCAACGAGCGCAACCCUUAUCCUUGUUUGCCAGCGAGUAAUGUCGGGAACUCCAGGGAGACUGCCGGUGAUAAACCGGAGGAAGGUGGGGACGACGUCAAGUCAUCAUGGCCCUUACGAGUAGGGCUACACACGUGCUACAAUGGCGCAUACAGAGGGCAGCGAACUUGCGAGAGUAAGCGAAUCCCAAAAAGUGCGUCGUAGUCCGGAUUGGAGUCUGCAACUCGACUCCAUGAAGUCGGAAUCGCUAGUAAUCGUGAAUCAGAAUGUACACGGUGAAUACGUUCCCGGGCCUUGUACACAC
RNAcentral lists this ribosomal RNA (529 nucleotides) under Vibrio diazotrophicus. Its description in RNAcentral is "bacterial SSU rRNA". It matches the Rfam family "Bacterial small subunit ribosomal RNA", at positions 872 to 1390 of the family's 1533-position model. Lineage: Bacteria; Pseudomonadati; Pseudomonadota; Gammaproteobacteria; Vibrionales; Vibrionaceae. The record is from RNAcentral.